UUGGACACAAGUGGAUUGCGCACAAGCAGAGUAUCACAGAGCAAAUUUGGACACAGUAAUGAUUGCGCACACUAUUAAUUGAACACAAAGCUACCUACUCGCGCGUGUUUCCCAUCUCAUACCUUAAUCUUUUAAUGCCGUGCGUGUUCCGUCUGAUAUAUUUCAAUCUUUUAUAAUUUACUGUUAGUGACGAUUCUCAUAAAGAGCCUGACGAACGUGUUGAGAUUAAUUAUCCCUGCAGAAUAUGUAAAUUCUAAGAUGUUUUGUCGAAAAUUUAUUAAAGUGGUUCUACAUUAUUAGAUUUGCAAAUUAUAUUCAAGUGGUGUUCGAUAUUUCGUAAAUUCAUGAAAUAAGUAUAUGACAUUUAUGCAAGGACCUGUAACGAUAAGUAUGUAAGACUGUUCGAUGAAAUUUCUCGCAGGAGUUUGUUGUUGAUUCUGUGUGCUUAACCUUAUUUGAGUUGACAGGAAGUAGAAAUUCAGGUAUGUAGUUUAUUCAAUGUCGAGCAGUGAUCUAGAAUAUUUGAUGGUUAUAUAAUAGACAGACAAAACUGUUUUAUGGAAAUUGUGAAAAUUGAUUGCAAUGUUAAAUCAAAUCGAACUGUUUGCAUGCUCUCUUCUGUGCAUUUAACCAUAUUUGGAUUGGCAGGAAGCUGAGGAUCCAAGAAGAAAUUGAGAUAAGUAUCUUUUGCCUAUAAAACGAUAGAUUUAACAAGAAUGAACAUGAUACUUUGUGGUGUUUUUAGCUUAUAUUUUACAGGUAGUUUAAUCAAUGUCGAGCAGUGAUUUAUAACACGUGAAGAUUAUGGACAGACAACUUGGUUGAUAUGUGCAUUGGAGUGAGUUGGUGGUGAGUUGAGAAAUAUUACGUUUUCCAAGUUUAUUAUAAUAUAGAUAAACUGCUCGCUUACAUACGUACUUCAUAAUUCUAGACAUUAUGUUUUCCUUUACUAUUUAGUUGCUAAAUCCAAAGUGGAACAUACAAUAUUGGUAACAAAUGAAUUUUUCUAGUAAUAUAUUUAUUAAACAAAUUCUUAAAUGCUAACUUAUAUUAUACAAUAUGUGGUAUUAUAAAUAUUAUUAUAUGUAAUAUGAAUACAUAAAACUAUUCAACGGGUAAGAUUUUAGGUAAAUCUAAAGAAAAAUUGCUUUUAUAUGAACCAUAUAUUACCAUUUGUAACAAACAAUUUGUAUAUACAAUAACCAUUAAUUUUUAUUAACUAAAGCUACCACUUAUAUUAUAUUACUGUUAAAUAUUCUGCUUCAACCGAACAGCUGGAUAUAUCGUAGUUUCAUAGUAUGCAACUCUUGAACCUGAAAUGAAAGUAGAAUAAUUAAAAAGAGUUUAGAUUAAAAGAAAUUGUAUUCAUUGAAUUGUAUUGUAGAUUAAAGUAAGCUUACAUAUAUAUGUAUGUCAGGGGGCAGAUUUCAGAACACCAAAUUUUCCUUUGAUAUGAUUAUUUAGAUUUGUAAUUUCUUGACUUAGAUUUCUUAAGAAUCUUUGAAAUUUUGAAAAAAAGUUACUAUUUCUUAGAGAUACAAUUGAUUAUAUAUAGAAGGGCAGUUAUCA
Long non-coding RNA from Hylaeus anthracinus, 1569 nucleotides. RefSeq lists it as uncharacterized. The transcript is spliced from 3 exons. NCBI's taxonomy places the organism in Eukaryota, Metazoa, Arthropoda, Insecta, Hymenoptera, Colletidae. The record is from RefSeq and is a predicted model, not a curated record.